UUUGUCUUCAUCAAGCUCGUCAAAAACCCAUGGCAAGAACAGAAUUGAGCCUUUGCACUACAACUCAAUCCUUUGAAAUGUUUAUGUGAAGAAAGCACCUGAAUCUUUGAAAAGUUGUUAUGGGUCGAUGUUGGGUAACACGUAACAUGGAUGAAGAAGUCAGAUUCAAGCAAAUUUCAUCUGGUUCAUCGUGAGAUUUUAUUUUUUUUGUUGCAGAUGAGAUAAAGAUGAAGAAAUAGAGACACCAUAAUUUUUUAGAAAACCAAAGAACCCAAUUUUUUAAAUAGACAAAGAACACAUUUUUCAUUCAUAAGAGAGUAAUAUGUGUUUGGCAUGCUGAGAUGUGGUAGUUUCUUUUUGGUAAAAGGUUGUUUUGGCAAUUCUCAAAGGUCAGAUAUGUACUUGAAGAAGAACAUGAUGGGUGAUGUUUGGCAUGCUGAGAUGUGGUAGUUUCUUUUUGGUUAAAGGUUGUUUUGACAAUUCUCAAAGGUCAGAUAUGUACUUGAAGAAGAACAUGAUGGGUGAUGUUUAUUUUUUUGUUGAAUUUUAAAUAAAAAAAUAGUGAGCCUAAACCAGCAUAACAGGUUAACAAGUAUUUGGUUUUAAAAAUUUAAUGACGUGGACCAAUGGUUAAGGGAGUGUUUGAGAGAGAGUGUGAGAGAGAGUGCACAUAGCAUCCCUCUAAAAUUUAAUAUAAAAUAUCGUUCAUACUUCACAUGCGUUAGCGCAAUAAAAAGGUGAAUGUCCAUCAUUUUGUUGGUAAUAUAAAUAUAUAUAUGGGGUUGCUAAGUUACUAGUAAGCCUACUCCCACUUGUAUUUUACUGAAAACCCAAUUUUAUCCAUUUAAGUUAUG
Molecule: long non-coding RNA, 854 nt
Filed under: Medicago truncatula (barrel medic)
Lineage: Eukaryota; Viridiplantae; Streptophyta; Magnoliopsida; Fabales; Fabaceae
Description: lncRNA gene7067
Source: RNAcentral